Molecule: ribosomal RNA, 114 nt
Filed under: Salmonella enterica subsp. enterica serovar Albany
Lineage: Bacteria; Pseudomonadati; Pseudomonadota; Gammaproteobacteria; Enterobacterales; Enterobacteriaceae
Description: partial 16S ribosomal RNA
Rfam family: Bacterial small subunit ribosomal RNA
Source: RNAcentral
GUAGCUUUACCUUCGGGAGGGCGCUUACCACUUUGUGAUUCAUGACUGGGGUGAAGUCGUAACAAGGUAACCGUAGGGGAACCUGCGGUUGGAUCACCUCCUUACCUUAAAGAA